RNAcentral lists this ribosomal RNA (301 nucleotides) under uncultured bacterium. RNAcentral's name for it is "partial 16S ribosomal RNA". It matches the Rfam family "Bacterial small subunit ribosomal RNA", at positions 509 to 807 of the family's 1533-position model. The record is from RNAcentral.
CAGUAGCCGCGGGAACACAGAGGGUGCGAGCGUUAAUCGGAUUUACUGGGCGUAAAGCGUGCGUAGGCGGCUUUUUAAGUCGGAUGUGAAAUCCCUGAGCUUAACUUAGGAAUUGCAUUCGAUACUGGGAAGCUAGAGUAUGGGAGAGGAUGGUAGAAUUCCAGGUGUAGCGGUGAAAUGCGUAGAGAUCUGGAGGAAUACCGAUGGCGAAGGCAGCCAUCUGGCCUAAUACUGACGCUGAGGUACGAAAGCAUGGGGAGCAAACAGGAUUAGAUACCCGGGUAGUCCCUGUCUCUUAUAC